This 520-nucleotide ribosomal RNA is filed under the name uncultured bacterium. Its description in RNAcentral is "partial 16S ribosomal RNA". It matches the Rfam family "Bacterial small subunit ribosomal RNA", at positions 355 to 864 of the family's 1533-position model. The record is from RNAcentral.
UGGGGAAUCUUCCGCAAUGGACGAAAGUCUGACGGAGCAACGCCGCGUGUAUGAUGAAGGUCUUCGGAUUGUAAAGUACUGUCAUUGGGGAAGAACGGUUUUCUUGAAAAGAUUGAGAAGACAUGACGGUACCCAAGGAGGAAGCCCCGGCUAACUACGUGCCAGCAGCCGCGGUAAUACGUAGGGGGCAAGCGUUGUCCGGAAUUAUUGGGCGUAAAGGGCGCGUAGGCGGGCCUUUAAGUCCGGUGUGAAAGAUCAGGGCUCAACCCUGAGAGUGCAUCGGAAACUGGAGGCCUUGAGGACAGGAGAGGAAAGUGGAAUUCCACGUGUAGCGGUGAAAUGCGUAGAUAUGUGGAGGAACACCAGUGGCGAAGGCGACUUUCUGGACUGUAACUGACGCUGAGGCGCGAAAGCGUGGGGAGCAAACAGGAUUAGAUACCCUGGUAGUCCACGCCGUAAACGAUGAGUGCUAGGUGUAGAGGGUAUCGACCCCCUUCUGUGCCGCAGUUAACACAAUAAG